This 468-nucleotide ribosomal RNA is filed under the name uncultured bacterium. Its description in RNAcentral is "partial 16S ribosomal RNA". It matches the Rfam family "Bacterial small subunit ribosomal RNA", at positions 28 to 507 of the family's 1533-position model. The record is from RNAcentral.
GACGAACGCUGGCGGCGCGCCUAACACAUGCAAGUCGAACGGAGCUGAGAGAAGCUUGCUUUUCUUAGCUUAGUGGCGAACGGGUGAGUAACGCGUGAGUAACCUGCCCUGGAGUGGGGGACAACAGUUGGAAACGACUGCUAAUACCGCAUAAGCCCACGAUCCGGCAUCGGAUUGAGGGAAAAGGAUUUAUUCGCUUCAGGAUGGACUCGCGUCCAAUUAGCUAGUUGGUGAGGUAACGGCCCACCAAGGCGACGAUUGGUAGCCGGACUGAGAGGUUGAACGGCCACAUUGGGACUGAGACACGGCCCAGACUCCUACGGGAGGCAGCAGUGGGGGAUAUUGCACAAUGGGGGAAACCCUGAUGCAGCGACGCCGCGUGGAGGAAGAAGGUUUUAGGAUUGUAAACUCCUGUCGUGAGGGACGAUAAUGACGGUACCUAACAAGAAAGCACCGGCUAACUACGUG